This 253-nucleotide ribosomal RNA is filed under the name uncultured bacterium. RNAcentral describes it as "partial 16S ribosomal RNA". It matches the Rfam family "Bacterial small subunit ribosomal RNA", at positions 524 to 776 of the family's 1533-position model. The record is from RNAcentral.
UACGGAGGGUGCGAGCGUUGUUCGGAAUCACUGGGCGUAAAGGGCGUGUAGGCGGUCCGCUAAGUCUGAUGUGAAAGCCCGGGGCUCACCCCCGGAAGUGCAUUGGAAACUGGCGAACUAGAGUCCCGGAGAGGAAGGUGGAAUUCCUGGUGUAGCGGUGAAAUGCGUAGAUAUCAGGAGGAACACCGGCGGCGAAGGCGGCCUUCUGGACGGUGACUGACGCUGAGACGCGAAAGCUAGGGGAGCAAACAGG